AUGCUUGACUCCUCUUUUUUCAUAAUAACUAAGACAAUUCCCAAAAGUCAGCCUAUGUCACUAUAUUAACCAAGGAUAUAGUGAUAAACGAUGACAAAAUAACCAAAGAAAUGACGCGAAAAGUUUAUUUAAUAAUAUUACAGAAAGCAUAGAAUAGCAAUCUCUCUUGAAAAGAGAACACUGAGGAACUUUUAUUACUUGAGAGAGAAAAAAAUACAAAAAGAAGACCUAACUGUACUAUCUUUAGGAUAAUAUCACAUAAAACUCAACAAUUAUAAUCAAAAAACAAACCUAAUAAAAGAAAAU
This 306-nucleotide unclassified non-coding RNA is filed under the name Hevea brasiliensis (rubber tree). The record is from RNAcentral. Lineage: Eukaryota; Viridiplantae; Streptophyta; Magnoliopsida; Malpighiales; Euphorbiaceae.